UUUUUUUUUUUUUUUUGGUUUUUCGAGACAAGGUUUCUCUGUAUAGCCCUGGCUGUCCUGGAACUCACUUUGUAGACCAGGCUGGCCUCGAACUCAGAAAUCCGCCUGCCUCUGCCUCCUGAGUGCUAGGAUUAAAGGCGUGCGCCACCACACCGGGCUUCACUUUUUUCUUCAAAGUUGCUCUUGCCAGUUGAUGAGUGAUGAUGUAGAGAGAGCAUUGUCCUGUGAGCAUUGUAUUCUUUACUGUCACAUGAGCAUCGAGGACGAAGACCAAGAAGGAAGGAAGCUUUAUCAUGGAGCCUAAUCUAUGAUCGAUCAAUCCAUAGAUCAAUACAUGCAUGGAUUCGGUAAUAACUGAAACCACAUUUUCUACCAUGAGUUUUAGUCAAAACAAAACCAAGCUGAUCAAGGCCCCUGGAGCACCUCUUCCGAGCCUUCUUGCCCUCAAGGGACAGGGCAAAGAGUAGGUGACUUCUUCCCCUUAAAGAGUCAAUUAAGACUACUUCUUCCUCUUAAUAAUACAAAUUCAUAUACUCUGUGUUUGUGGAAUGGGGAGAGAUGUGUAAAAAUCACAAAAUCUAAUAGAACUUGGUGCAAGGAAGUGGUAUCAAGGUUUUAUGGCUUACGUGCAAAGGAGCUGAGAGUGGAGUUUGUGGUGGCAUAAGAUGUCUUCAUGAAACACAUCACGGAAAAGUGUCCAGGAUCUCACCUUUUGUACUUUAUUGGAUAGGUACAACAUAAUGAUUAAAAUCCCAUAAUCAGCGUCCCUGACAUUAUCUUCUCAAGCUUACCUGAUUGACACCAAAUUCUCUCUCCCCUCUUCUCAUAAACCCACAUUUAUGACAUUUAAUAUAAGCAAUAUUUGCCAUUAUUGGGCCCUAACAUAUAGCUGUGGCACUGGGCUAACUAUGAACUUGGACUGGAAUAUAUUUCCUUGUUCUAGGGCAUUAAUUGCGCCUCCUGGACAAGACUCAGAAACAACAACAGCUUGAGCUGGAUACGUGCUUAGCUUCUUCAUGGCGUUACACAGUUUUUCAGACAUGAACGUACCUUAGGCAGUAAGUAAGGCAGUGUUCACACUCUCAGCAAGAGAUAGAAAGGAGAGGCUUCAGAGGAUCAGAUCCUUUAAAGCAGGCAGAUACAAACUCUACCAUUGUUGACUAUAAAUCCAUACUAGAACCCGUUACAGUCAGUCUUGCUGCGUGUGAUUUUACCCAUUCUUUAAGAGAGGGAUAGUAGGGGACUGGAGUGACGUCUUAGCAGCUAGGGGUACAAGGACUCAGAGUUGAUACUCAUCACCCACAUGGUGGUUCAUAACACACUGUAACUCCAGUUCUGGGGGGAUACAGUGGCCUCUUCUGACCUACAAGGGCAUUAGGCAUGCAUGUGGAGCACACACACACACAGCAAACAAAACACCCAUACACAUAAAGUAAAUAUUUUUAAAUUAAAAUAUUCAUAGUAAUUAAAUAUAUUUCCAUAUGCACACACACACACACACACACACACACACACACACAUAUACACUAAAAUAUAUGUAACUGAAAAAAAUUUGGUUUGCUCUCGCCUAAUGGUACCUGGCCAGCUCCCUUUAUCAGUUUGUUUCUGGAUUUUUGUGGUCUGAGGUGGAUUUUCUCAAUCACCAGUCACCAAACCCAUAUACAUUGCUUUCCUGGAAGAAUUUCCCACAUGUCCCACACAUUAAUUCAGCAGAGUCGUGUUCCUUAAGGAAGAGUGAUGGGUUGCAUUUGAUUCAGCAUGCUGGCCAGAAGCUGGACCAUAAUUUGAUCUGGGGUUUUGGAAAUGAAAGAAUCCUUAAGGCUUUUGUCUGCAGGGGAGCUUAGAACAGUGGGGAAGAGAGACGGAAACCCCCUCUUCCCCCUGGAAGUUACAAUCCAUAUGACGAUUUUCUGAUGACAGACUGCCCCUGGAGCGGGAGGAGGGACCAGUGCCACAGGGUCUCCUUUGGAGUAGAUAGGUGAAAUAUAGCAUUAUUACUGAGAAUGGAGAAAUAGUACUUAUCUUCUACCUCAAUUU
RNAcentral lists this long non-coding RNA (2037 nucleotides) under Mus musculus (house mouse). RNAcentral describes it as "long non-coding RNA chr2:170838972-170841009". The record is from RNAcentral. Lineage: Eukaryota; Metazoa; Chordata; Mammalia; Rodentia; Muridae.